RNAcentral lists this ribosomal RNA (425 nucleotides) under uncultured bacterium. RNAcentral describes it as "partial 16S ribosomal RNA". It matches the Rfam family "Bacterial small subunit ribosomal RNA", at positions 354 to 796 of the family's 1533-position model. The record is from RNAcentral.
GUGGGGAAUAUUGGACAAUGGGCGCAAGCCUGAUCCAGCCAUGCCGCGUGGGUGAUGAAGGCCCUAGGGUUGUAAAGCCCUUUCGGCGGGGAAGAUAAUGACGGUACCCGCAGAAGAAGCCCCGGCUAACUUCGUGCCAGCAGCCGCGGUAAUACGAAGGGGGCUAGCGUUGCUCGGAAUCACUGGGCGUAAAGCGCACGUAGGCGGCUUGUUAAGUCAGGGGUGAAAUCCUGGAGCUCAACUCCAGAACUGCCUUUGAUACUGGCAAGCUUGAGUUCGGGAGAGGUGAGUGGAACUGCGAGUGUAGAGGUGAAAUUCGUAGAUAUUCGCAAGAACACCAGUGGCGAAGGCGGCUCACUGGCCCGAUACUGACGCUGAGGUGCGAAAGCGUGGGGAGCAAACAGGAUUAGAUACCCCUGUAGUCC